GUUUUUAGCUGUAGAGCAAUUGCAAAGAAAAAGAAAUUCAGAAUAUUCACAUACUUAUCAUUCUUGCUUGGGUACCAAAGGGCGCUUUCAAAACAGUCUUCCUAUCAGUUAGGGUCAAAUACAAGGGCCAGCACAAGUAAGAGAUAUUUCCAGCAUAAGAUGUUAAUGUGUGCAUAGUCCCAUCAACUGAAUAUCCAGUCACCUUCAUGGGAGCAUCAAGUAGAUGCCAGACACCCAGCCUGCACUUGCUCCUUUUGCACACACUAGUGGCUGCACUUGGAAAAGUUUGUGCAUUUUUCUGUUUGCUUUUUUCUUUUCUUUUUUUUUUUUUUUUUUUAAUAGAAAUCUUCCAGAGGUUUCUGCUGAGAAUUUGAUUCACCUUGAAGAAAAACUAGAAAACAUUAUUGUGAUACAGUUUCCUUUAAGAAGAAAUACCAGCAGGAGCUCAUUCAUGAGAUUUAGAGAGUUGUCAACAGAGCUGAAAUGGCUGGGAUUCUUAUCUGCCAUCUCCAACAUAUUUUCUAUAUUAUGAAGAAAUUUAAUGAGUCAUUUCAUUUGGAGUUUUGAACUUGAUGUCCAGAUUCCACAGCUCAGCAGUAGCUGAGGGGAAAGAGCCAUAGGGAAAAGAAGCAAAUUUGUGAAGGUAAGAAAGUGCAGGAUGUAGAUGGGGUAAUUCUGUGUGUAGAUGUCUCCUCAGUUAUUUAUUUUUUCAGGGUCAUGUUUUGUCUUGCAGAUCUCAGGAGUUUCACCUCUUGAUAGUGACAGUACAAGUCACGUGACCGAAGGUCUCUGUUGUCACUAAUGGAAGAAAUCUACAGACCUCUAAGGCUGAAAUCAGUGCUCUGUGCCCAGCACUCAGAUGACAGAAGACUACUGUACCAGUAUGAGAGUUAAUGGUGUGGUGUCCUUGUGUAGGAGGCUCCUAGCAGGAUCAACCCCUCCACAGGCUCCAUGGUCUCCUUGAUGUCAGAAAAUAUUGAGCAGCAGAAAUCAAAAUGUCGGAGUAGUCAGUGCAGUUAUCUGGGCAGCUU
This 1031-nucleotide long non-coding RNA is filed under the name Anas platyrhynchos platyrhynchos (common mallard). Its description in RNAcentral is "lncRNA (ENSAPLG00000021873.1)". The record is from RNAcentral. Lineage: Eukaryota; Metazoa; Chordata; Aves; Anseriformes; Anatidae.